RNAcentral lists this ribosomal RNA (569 nucleotides) under Hanseniaspora uvarum. RNAcentral's name for it is "eukaryotic LSU rRNA". It matches the Rfam family "Eukaryotic large subunit ribosomal RNA", at positions 85 to 668 of the family's 3401-position model. The record is from RNAcentral. Lineage: Eukaryota; Fungi; Ascomycota; Saccharomycetes; Saccharomycodales; Saccharomycodaceae.
UACGGCGAGUGAAGCGGUAAAAGCUCAAAUUUGAAAUCUGGUACUUUCAGUGCCCGAGUUGUAAUUUGUAGAAUUUGUCUUUGAUUAGGUCCUUGUCUAUGUUCCUUGGAACAGGACGUCAUAGAGGGUGAGAAUCCCGUUUGGCGAGGAUACCUUUUCUCUGUAAGACUUUUUCGAAGAGUCGAGUUGUUUGGGAAUGCAGCUCAAAGUGGGUGGUAAAUUCCAUCUAAAGCUAAAUAUUGGCGAGAGACCGAUAGCGAACAAGUACAGUGAUGGAAAGAUGAAAAGAACUUUGAAAAGAGAGUGAAAAAGUACGUGAAAUUGUUGAAAGGGAAGGGCAUUUGAUCAGACAUGGUGUUUUUUGCAUGCACUCGCCUCUCGUGGGCUUGGGCCUCUCAAAAAUUUCACUGGGCCAACAUCAAUUCUGGCAGCAGGAUAAAUCAUUAAGAAUGUAGCUACUUCGGUAGUGUUAUAGCUUUUUGGAAUACUGUUAGCCGGGAUUGAGGACUGCGCUUCGGCAAGGAUGUUGGCAUAAUGGUUAAAUGCCGCCCGUCUUGAAACACGGACCA